CCCUUCGAUGUUCGGAGCUGCACGCGCGCUACACUGUGGGUGGCAGCAUGUUAGCUUGCCUCGCUCGCAAGAGUGGGGUAAUCGUUUGAAAAUCCCACGUGAUUGGGAUAGGGACUUGUAAUUAUUUCCCUUGAACGAGGAAUGCCUAGUAAGCGCAAGUCAUCAGCUUGCGUUGAUUACGUCCCUGCCCUUUGUACACACCGCCCGUCGCUCCUACCGAUUGAAUGGUCCGGUGAAGCGUUCGGACCGUGGCCUUUGGACGGUUCGCCGUCUGUUGGCUGCGGGAAGUUCGUUAAACCUUAUCAUUUAGAGGAAGGAGAAGUCGUAACA
RNAcentral lists this ribosomal RNA (330 nucleotides) under uncultured eukaryote. RNAcentral describes it as "partial 18S ribosomal RNA". It matches the Rfam family "Eukaryotic small subunit ribosomal RNA", at positions 1470 to 1796 of the family's 1831-position model. The record is from RNAcentral.